This 310-nucleotide ribosomal RNA is filed under the name uncultured eukaryote. Its description in RNAcentral is "partial 18S ribosomal RNA". It matches the Rfam family "Eukaryotic small subunit ribosomal RNA", at positions 1470 to 1796 of the family's 1831-position model. The record is from RNAcentral.
CCCCUAGACGUUCUGGGCUGCACGCGCGCUACAAUAAUACGCACAGCGAGUAUCACCGAGCUCGAAAGGGCAAGGUAAACAAUAGAAAGGUACUGUAAUGGUUAUAGAUCCUUGUAAUUAUUGAUCUUCAACGAGGAAUUCCUAGUAAGUAUGUGUCAUCAUCACGCACUGAUUACGUCCCUGCCCUUUGUACACACCGCCCGUCGCUCCUACCGAUUGGGUGAGCCGAUGAAACUCUCGGAUGUAGGCUAUUCAUAGCCCGCAGAAGAGAUUUGAAUCGUAGCGCUUAGAGGAAGGAGAAGUCGUAACA